CUACGUGCCAGCAGCCGCGGUAAUACGUAGGUCCCGAGCGUUAUCCGGAUUUAUUGGGCGUAAAGCGAGCGCAGGCGGUUAGAUAAGUCUGAAGUUAAAGGCUGUGGCUUAACCAUAGUACGCUUUGGAAACUGUUCAACUUGAGUGCAAGAGGGGAGAGUGGAAUUCCAUGUGUAGCGGUGAAAUGCGUAGAUAUAUGGAGGAACACCGGUGGCGAAAGCGGCUCUCUGGCUUGUAACUGACGCUGAGGCUCGAAAGCGUGGGGAGCAAACAGGAUUAGAUACCCUGGUAGUCCACGCCGUAAACGAUGAGUGCUAGGUGUUAGACCCUUUCCGGGGUUUAGUGCCGUAGCUAACGCAUUAAGCACUCCGCCUGGGGAGUACGACCGCAAGGUUGAAACUCAAAGGAAUUGACGGGGGCCCGCACAAGCGGAGGAACAUGUGGUUUAAUUCGAUGAUACGCGAGGAACCUUACCCGGGCUUGAA
RNAcentral lists this ribosomal RNA (485 nucleotides) under uncultured bacterium. RNAcentral's name for it is "bacterial SSU rRNA". It matches the Rfam family "Bacterial small subunit ribosomal RNA", at positions 501 to 985 of the family's 1533-position model. The record is from RNAcentral.